Molecule: transfer RNA, 88 nt
Filed under: Grosmannia clavigera kw1407
Lineage: Eukaryota; Fungi; Ascomycota; Sordariomycetes; Ophiostomatales; Ophiostomataceae
Rfam family: tRNA
About the family: Transfer RNA (tRNA) molecules are approximately 80 nucleotides in length.
Source: Rfam by way of RNAcentral
GAUCGUGUGGCCUAGUGGUUAGGGCAUGUCCUUUACAGUAUUCAGUAUUGAUCGGAUGGGAUCGCAGGUUCGACCCCUGCCACGAUCA